Molecule: ribosomal RNA, 578 nt
Filed under: uncultured Actinomycetes bacterium
Lineage: Bacteria; Bacillati; Actinomycetota; Actinomycetes
Description: bacterial SSU rRNA
Rfam family: Bacterial small subunit ribosomal RNA
Source: RNAcentral
ACGGAAAGGCCCUGCUUGCAGGGUACUCGAGUGGCGAACGGGUGAGUAACACGUGGGUGAUCUGCCCUGCACUUCGGGAUAAGCCUGGGAAACUGGGUCUAAUACCGGAUAGGAGCCAUUUUUAGUGUGAUGGUUGGAAAGUUUUUUCGGUGUAGGAUGAGCUCGCGGCCUAUCAGCUUGUUGGUGGGGUAAUGGCCUACCAAGGCGGCGACGGGUAGCCGGCCUGAGAGGGUGGACGGCCACAUUGGGACUGAGAUACGGCCCAGACUCCUACGGGAGGCAGCAGUGGGGAAUAUUGCACAAUGGGCGCAAGCCUGAUGCAGCGACGCCGCGUGGGGGACGACGGCCUUCGGGUUGUAAACUCCUUUCGCUAGGGACGAAGCUUUUUGUGACGGUACCUAGAUAAGAAGCACCGGCUAACUACGUGCCAGCAGCCGCGGUAAUACGUAGGGUGCGAGCGUUGUCCGGAAUUACUGGGCGUAAAGGGCUCGUAGGUGGUUUGUCGCGUCGUCUGUGAAAUUCCGGGGCUUAACUCCGGGCGUGCAGGCGAUACGGGCAUAACUUGAGUACUGUAGGGG